Molecule: ribosomal RNA, 207 nt
Filed under: uncultured bacterium
Lineage: Bacteria
Description: partial 16S ribosomal RNA
Rfam family: Bacterial small subunit ribosomal RNA
Source: RNAcentral
CGCGUAGGCGGUUGAUUAAGUCAGCUGUGAAAGCCCCGGGCUCAACCUGGGAAUUGCAGUUGAUACUGGCCGACUAGAGUGCAGGAGAGGGAGGUAGAAUUCCACGUGUAGCGGUGAAAUGCGUAGAUAUGUGGAGGAAUACCGGUGGCGAAGGCGGCCUCCUGGCCUGACACCGACGCUGAGGUGCGAAAGCGUGGGGAGCAAACA